Molecule: ribosomal RNA, 255 nt
Filed under: uncultured bacterium
Lineage: Bacteria
Description: partial 16S ribosomal RNA
Rfam family: Bacterial small subunit ribosomal RNA
Source: RNAcentral
UACGUAGGCAGCGAGCGUUGUUCGGAGUUACUGGGCGUAAAGGGUGCGUAGGCGGUUGUUUUAAGUUUGGUGUGAAAUCUCCCGGCUCAACUGGGAGGGUGCGCCGAAUACUGAAUGACUAGAGUGCGGGAGAGGAGAGUGGAAUUCCUGGUGUAGCGGUGAAAUGCGUAGAUAUCAGGAGGAACACCGGUGGUGUAGACGGCUCUCUGGACCGAUACUGACGCUGAGGCGCGAAAAGCGUGGGGAGCAAACAGG